CAUGCCUGUGCGGAUAGGCCCUGUGCGCCUGGGGCCUGCGCACAGUAGGUUUGCACGCGCGACAGGAGGCAUGUGUGCCUGCAGGCUAGCCUGUAGUGCGCCAGCUGGGGCACUGCUACCUUUUUUUCUCGUCCUUCAACUUUGCCUUGAUCUUCACCGUUGGUCUUGAAAGAGAUCCAACUACUACAAACUUUAAAAAAUUCGAUUGUUGUGAGGUUCAACAGCUUUUAAAAGGAGACCAUCUCCCUCUUUUCUUUACUUCUUUUAUAACCUAGAUUAAAGCCACAGAGCCUUGUAGAGAGAAAAAGAGAGAUAGAAAGGAGAAGAAUGAGCAGAAGAAGAAGGCAAACAAAGAAAAAAAAAAUAGAAACGGCCAGCAAUGGCUUCAAGACCGAUUAGUUCCCAACAAGCAAUAAGAGGUGUGGCAGAUUUAGGAGGAGCAGGAAAGCAAUAGAAGAAAGCUGUUGCAGACGGAAGAAACCGACAUGCUCUUGGCGAUAUUGGAGUUUCUGCGCACAACUAUUAGCCAAUGCUCAAGCGGCUGCUGUGGGUGAGCACAACAAGGCUUGCUUUGAAAUGCAGAAACAAAUUUGUGUUAAGGUUCAGAAGGCCUCAGUUGCUGUUGCUGGAGCUGCAAUGAACAAAAGAGUUGUGAUACCAAAAACAGGUGAGAAGAAAGCCAUUGUUAAGCUAAAGCCUGAUGAAGUAAUAGUGAGAAGCCUAGACAUAGAAGAAAAGGUGAAUGCUAGAAAGCAAGAAAAAGCUCCAAUCAACAAGAAUAAGGAUACAGAAGGAUCAUCCAAGAAGAUUUCUUACACUUCAAUCCUAACUGCUCGAAACAAG
This is a non-coding RNA of Carica papaya (papaya), 843 nucleotides long. The record is from RefSeq and is a predicted model, not a curated record. NCBI's taxonomy places the organism in Eukaryota, Viridiplantae, Streptophyta, Magnoliopsida, Brassicales, Caricaceae.